Molecule: ribosomal RNA, 503 nt
Filed under: uncultured bacterium
Lineage: Bacteria
Description: partial 16S ribosomal RNA
Rfam family: Bacterial small subunit ribosomal RNA
Source: RNAcentral
AACGAACGCUGGCGGCGUGUUUAAGACAUGCAAGUCGCACGGUGUCAUUUUGGUAGCAAUACUUGGAUGGCACAGUGGCGCACGGGUGAGUAACACGUGAAUGACAUGCCCUAUAGUGGGGAAUAGCCCAGGGAAACUUGGAUUAAUACCCCAUGGUCUCGCAAGAGUAAAGGUGGCCGCAAGGCUGUCGCUAUAGGAUUGGUUCGCGUUCUAUCAGCUUGUUGGCGGGGUAACGGCCCACCAAGGCUACGACGGAUACCUGGUCUGAGUGGACGAUCAGGCACACUGGAACUGAGACACGGUCCAGACACCUACGGGUGGCAGCAGUCGAGAAUAAUUCACAAUGGGGGCAACCCUGAUGGUGCAACGCCGCGUGGAGGAUGAAGGUCUUCGGAUUGUAAACUCCUGUCAUCCGGGAGCAAGACCUGGCCGUGAAUAGCGGACAGGGUUGAUAGUACCGGAAGAGGAAGGGACGGCUAACUUCGUGCCAGCAGCCGCAGUAA